RNAcentral lists this ribosomal RNA (1263 nucleotides) under Triticum aestivum (bread wheat). Its description in RNAcentral is "partial small subunit ribosomal RNA". Lineage: Eukaryota; Viridiplantae; Streptophyta; Magnoliopsida; Poales; Poaceae. The record is from RNAcentral.
AUGAAGUUCGGCAAGGAUUUCCGGAGCCACCUGGAGGGCACGCUGCCGGACUGGAAGGACAAGUACCUCGCCUACAAGGCGCUCAAGAAGCUCAUCAAGACGCUCCCCCCCGACGCCCUCGUCGCCNNNNNNNNNNNNNNNNNNNNNCCGCCCCCGCCCCCGCCCCCGCCCGGCCUCGGGGACUGGUUCGCCCGGAUCCUCGACGUCGAGCUCCACAAGCUCAACGACUUCUACAUGGAGCGGGAGGAGUGGUACGUCAUCCGCCUCCAGGUGCUAAAGGAGAGGAUUGAGCGAGUCAAAGCGAAGAAGAAUGGUGCUUUUACAUCCAAAACUGAGUUCACUGAAGAAAUGUUAGAGAUACGUAGAGAUUUCGUGCUUAUCCACGGCGAAAUGAUACUUCUGCAGACCUACAGCUCCCUGAACUUUGCUGGGCUAGUGAAGAUACUGAAGAAGUAUGACAAAAGAACAGGCGGCGUGCUCAGCCUACCUUUCACUCAGCGAGCUCGCCACCAACCAUUUUUCACCACCGAACCGUUAACAAGACUUGUUCGAGAAUGUGAGGCUAAUCUUGAAAUCCUUUUCCCUGUUGAAGAUGAAGUACUCGAGUCUGGUUCCUCUUCAAAGCAUCAGGCUCAUAAUGAUGCGGCUAGUCGUGACCCAGCUUCAUCUUGCAACGCAGAAACCUCGGAGGUGUACCGAAGCACACUCGCAGCAAUGAAAGCGAUAGAGGGCCUUAAGAAAGCCAGCUCUACCUACAAUGCCCUGUCUCUGGCUAGGUUCUUCCAUGGAGAGGAUGGCGAAGCAUGUUCUGGCGCCAUAACAUCUGAGAGCUCGUUAUCAGAUUCCAUGACAGAUUCCCAGGUAGAAGAUGCUGACAAGAAUGACAAAGAGGUGCAAUCAAAGGAGCAGAGCUCUGCUCAAACUGGCCAUAACGCGGAAGCGGAGCGACGCGGUGGAUAAUAAUCAGUCUUUGCAUGCUAUUUCGAAUCUCCCAUGAUAAGUGUAAAUGAUAGAACUGCUAUAACACCAAUAAUCUGGAUGUUUAGCCAGUCUUUGAAAUGUGUGACCAUAAGUCAUGUUUUAUUUGGAUGCUUGGAGUUUUGGAGCUGUAGGAAGAAAGUGUGUGUGACAUUUAGCUGAUUUGAUUUGAAAGGAGUUGUAUACAGUCUCUCUGUUUCUCAAGGUUUUUGUAUAGCCACUGAUGUUCGGCUUCAGCAAACCACUCAUACGGUGUACCCUCAAAGAAAAAACACUCGUACGGUG